RNAcentral lists this ribosomal RNA (221 nucleotides) under uncultured Glomeromycotina. RNAcentral describes it as "partial small subunit ribosomal RNA". It matches the Rfam family "Eukaryotic small subunit ribosomal RNA", at positions 569 to 789 of the family's 1831-position model. Lineage: Eukaryota; Fungi; Glomeromycota. The record is from RNAcentral.
AGCAGCCGCAGUAAAUUUCCCAGCUCCAAUAGCGUAUAUUAAAGUUGCUGCAGUUUAAAGCUCGUAGUUGAAUUUCGGGAUCAAUAUGUUUGGUCGUGCCUUUGGUACGUACUAGCUUUUGGUUUCUCCCUCUGACGAACCAUGAUGUCAUUUUAUUUUGGGUGUUAUGAGGAAUCAGACUGUUACUUUUGAAAAAUUAGAGUGUUUUAAAGCAGGCUCAC